RNAcentral lists this small RNA (449 nucleotides) under Triticum aestivum (bread wheat). RNAcentral's name for it is "pathogen-induced lncRNA". The record is from RNAcentral. Lineage: Eukaryota; Viridiplantae; Streptophyta; Magnoliopsida; Poales; Poaceae.
CCUCGCCGCGCUCAAGAACCGCGUCGACAGCUCCGACACGACGACCGCCUGCACCCGCGGACGCCCGCGCCGCUCCAUUUAUCCGGCCCACCAUCCAUCCAUCCAUCAAUUAUACCCGCACACACAUACCGCACGCACCACCAAUUGGCCGAGCUCGUCGCGAGUUCACGUUCACAAACCAACAGCUCCGUCCGCCAUACCUCCUCCAUGCCAUGCAUGAUGAACUCUAUACAGACCAAGAUCGAUCGACGCCGACGGCAACAGUUUUGCUACGUAACGUUGUUGUAAAUCGUUCGUGAGGCACUUGACUAGCUUCUGCUAUUAUGUUUGUACCAAGUGUACUGUAAUACUACUAUGGUACUGUACAAGCUGCAGAUUGUAAUUCUAUGAUGAGGUUCAGGGUUACAUACAGUGCAAAGCUCUGUAAUCCCAGAGUAAAAAAAAAAAAA